GAUGAACGCUGGCGGCGUGCCUAAUACAUGCAAGUCGAGCGAACAGACGAGGAGCUUGCUCCUCUGACGUUAGCGGCGGACGGGUGAGUAACACGUGGAUAACCUACCUAUAAGACUGGGAUAACUUCGGGAAACCGGAGCUAAUACCGGAUAAUAUAUUGAACCGCAUGGUUCAAUAGUGAAAGACGGUUUUGCUGUCACUUAUAGAUGGAUCCGCGCCGCAUUAGCUAGUUGGUAAGGUAACGGCUUACCAAGGCAACGAUGCGUAGCCGACCUGAGAGGGUGAUCGGCCACACUGGAACUGAGACACGGUCCAGACUCCUACGGGAGGCAGCAGUAGGGAAUCUUCCGCAAUGGGCGAAAGCCUGACGGAGCAACGCCGCGUGAGUGAUGAAGGUCUUCGGAUCGGAAAACUCUGUUAUUAGGGAAGAACAAAUGUGUAAGUAAAUAUGCACGUCUUGACGGUACCUAAUCAGAAAGCCACGGCUAACUACGUG
RNAcentral lists this ribosomal RNA (497 nucleotides) under uncultured bacterium. Its description in RNAcentral is "partial 16S ribosomal RNA". It matches the Rfam family "Bacterial small subunit ribosomal RNA", at positions 28 to 507 of the family's 1533-position model. The record is from RNAcentral.